Molecule: transfer RNA, 65 nt
Filed under: Pterapogon kauderni
Lineage: Eukaryota; Metazoa; Chordata; Actinopteri; Kurtiformes; Apogonidae
Description: tRNA-Cys
Source: RNAcentral
AGUUCCGAGGUGUUUACAUGUCAGAUUGCAAAUCUGAAGUAGUAGGCUAACCCCUACCGGGACUU